This 901-nucleotide long non-coding RNA is filed under the name Mytilus galloprovincialis (Mediterranean mussel). The record is from RNAcentral. Lineage: Eukaryota; Metazoa; Mollusca; Bivalvia; Mytilida; Mytilidae.
CAAGAUGAAGAGCUUCGUUCUAAUGUCAGUAGUAUGUUUAUUAAGUUUGACAAUAAACAGAAGCAUGAUGACAGAAGGUAAAAUUUGUUUAACUUUUACUUCGAUAUGUUUUUCUUACUUGAAUAAUAUUAUGACUUUCGAAGAUAUCAUGAACGAACUAUGCUUAAUAAAAAGUCAGUUUGCGCUCUUUCAAUUAUGAUUUACGCCAUCAGCAGUACCAUACAAUCUCGUUAGAUACAUUAAUUCUGGUUAUUUGCUAUAAAUCCGAAAUGAAUGAAAUGGAAACAAGUUUUAAAAGAGUAUUAAAAUUUCUUACUGAGUGUAUUAAUGUCACGAUUUGAUAUACAAUUGGACCACCCAACGUAACGGAAUCCUAGUAUCUAUAACAACAAUGACCAAAAAUAUUGGACAGUCCACCCACCCAUAACAGCAGCAUAUAGUCCAAAUAGCCUGACAUGGUACUGGCGCAAUGUGGUGGGGUCAAACCAGUUUUACGCGCUUACCACUCCGAUGUUUGCGUAUCUAGAUCAAAAGUCGUAACUAAUAAUAUCCCACACUUAAUGAAAUACACUAAACAGUGCAGCUACCAACAGGAUAUGACCAAUAUCUUAAACCCCCCAAAAAACAAAAACGACGGAAAACGAUUUAGAUUUCAUAUAAAUAUUGAAAAAAUACCUCAUAAACCUUUUUGUUCCUUUUCAGGUCGUCCAUAUGACCAGCAGCCAUGUUGUGUUUGAGUGCGAGCACUGUGUAAUUGUCCGUGCACUCUUAGCUGGCCUCAAAAACCGGCACGUCAAUAUCCUUGGCUAGAUUUAUUUUCAAGAAAUCUUCACUGAAAUGUUUUAAUAAUUUUAGUUUACAUUAGAGAAGGGAUGACAACAUUAUUUCAACAAAAACAUAG